Molecule: transfer RNA, 73 nt
Filed under: Camelus bactrianus (Bactrian camel)
Lineage: Eukaryota; Metazoa; Chordata; Mammalia; Artiodactyla; Camelidae
Also listed under: 2 other names
Rfam family: tRNA
About the family: Transfer RNA (tRNA) molecules are approximately 80 nucleotides in length. Their secondary structure includes four short double-helical elements and three loops (D, anti-codon, and T loops). Further hydrogen bonds mediate the characteristic L-shaped molecular structure. tRNAs have two regions of fundamental functional importance: the anti-codon, which is responsible for specific mRNA codon recognition, and the 3' end, to which the tRNAs corresponding amino acid is attached (by aminoacyl-tRNA synthetases). tRNAs cope with the degeneracy of the genetic code in two manners: having more than one tRNA (with a specific anti-codon) for a particular amino acid; and 'wobble' base-pairing, i.e. permitting non-standard base-pairing at the 3rd anti-codon position.
Source: Rfam by way of RNAcentral
GACGGUAUAGCUCAAGUGGUAGAGCACAUACUUAGCAUGCAUGAGGUCAUGGAUUCAAUUCCCAGUACCUCCU